RNAcentral lists this ribosomal RNA (446 nucleotides) under uncultured bacterium. RNAcentral's name for it is "bacterial SSU rRNA". It matches the Rfam family "Bacterial small subunit ribosomal RNA", at positions 330 to 792 of the family's 1533-position model. The record is from RNAcentral.
GCCAGACUCCUACGGGAGGCAGCAGUGGGGAAUAUUGCACAAUGGGGGGAACCCUGAUGCAGCGACGCCGCGUGAGCGAAGAAGUAUCUCGGUAUGUAAAGCUCUAUCAGCAGGGAAGAAAAAUGACGGUACCUGACUAAGAAGCCCCGGCUAACUACGUGCCAGCAGCCGCGGUAAUACGUAGGGGGCAAGCGUUAUCCGGAUUUACUGGGUGUAAAGGGAGCGCAGGCGGCGCGGCAAGUCUGAUGUGAAAGCCCGGGGCUCAACCCCGGGACUGCAUUGGAAACUGUCGCGCUCGAGUGUCGGAGAGGUAAGUGGAAUUCCUAGUGUAGCGGUGAAAUGCGUAGAUAUUAGGAGGAACACCAGUGGCGAAGGCGGCUUACUGGACGACAACUGACGCUGAGGCUCGAAAGCGUGGGGAGCAAACAGGAUUAGAUACCCCGGUA